This 845-nucleotide ribosomal RNA is filed under the name Aspergillus flavus. RNAcentral describes it as "partial large subunit ribosomal RNA". It matches the Rfam family "Eukaryotic large subunit ribosomal RNA", at positions 76 to 936 of the family's 3401-position model. RNAcentral also lists the same sequence under 1 other name. The record is from RNAcentral. Lineage: Eukaryota; Fungi; Ascomycota; Eurotiomycetes; Eurotiales; Aspergillaceae.
UGCCUCAGUAACGGCGAGUGAAGCGGCAAGAGCUCAAAUUUGAAAGCUGGCUCCUUCGGGGUCCGCAUUGUAAUUUGCAGAGGAUGCUUCGGGUGCGGCCCCUGUCUAAGUGCCCUGGAACGGGCCGUCAGAGAGGGUGAGAAUCCCGUCUGGGAUGGGGUGUCCGCGCCCGUGUGAAGCUCCUUCGACGAGUCGAGUUGUUUGGGAAUGCAGCUCUAAAUGGGUGGUAAAUUUCAUCUAAAGCUAAAUACUGGCCGGAGACCGAUAGCGCACAAGUAGAGUGAUCGAAAGAUGAAAAGCACUUUGAAAAGAGAGUUAAAAAGCACGUGAAAUUGUUGAAAGGGAAGCGCUUGCGACCAGACUCGCCUCCAGGGUUCAGCCGGCAUUCGUGCCGGUGUACUUCCCUGGGGGCGGGCCAGCGUCGGUUUGGGCGGCCGGUCAAAGGCUCCCGGAAUGUAGUGCCCUCCGGGGCACCUUAUAGCCGGGAGUGCAAUGCGGCCAGCCUGGACCGAGGAACGCGCUUCGGCACGGACGCUGGCAUAAUGGUCGUAAACGACCCGUCUUGAAACACGGACCAAGGAGUCUAACAUCUACGCGAGUGUUCGGGUGUCAAACCCGUACGCGCAGUGAAAGCGAACGGAGGUGGGAGCCCCCUCGUGGGGCGCACCAUCGACCGAUCCUGAUGUCUUCGGAUGGAUUUGAGUAAGAGCGUAAAUGUGGGGACCCGAAAGAUGGUGAACUAUGCCUGAAUAGGGCGAAGCCAGAGGAAACUCUGGUGGAGGCUCGCAGCGGUUCUGACGUGCAAAUCGAUCGUCAAAUUUGGGUAUAGGGGCGAAAGACUAAUC